Molecule: non-coding RNA, 25 nt
Filed under: Cricetulus griseus (Chinese hamster)
Lineage: Eukaryota; Metazoa; Chordata; Mammalia; Rodentia; Cricetidae
Source: RNAcentral
CCUACUCUGUUCUUUAGAUUCUUGC